RNAcentral lists this ribosomal RNA (482 nucleotides) under uncultured bacterium. RNAcentral describes it as "bacterial SSU rRNA". It matches the Rfam family "Bacterial small subunit ribosomal RNA", at positions 509 to 992 of the family's 1533-position model. The record is from RNAcentral.
CAGCAGCCGCGGUAAUACGGAGGGUGCGAGCGUUAAUCGGAAUAACUGGGCGUAAAGGGCACGCAGGCGGUGACUUAAGUGAGGUGUGAAAGCCCCGGGCUUAACCUGGGAAUUGCAUUUCAUACUGGGUCGCUAGAGUACUUUAGGGAGGGGUAGAAUUCCACGUGUAGCGGUGAAAUGCGUAGAGAUGUGGAGGAAUACCGAAGGCGAAGGCAGCCCCUUGGGAAUGUACUGACGCUCAUGUGCGAAAGCGUGGGGAGCAAACAGGAUUAGAUACCCUGGUAGUCCACGCUGUAAACGAUGUCGAUUUGGGGGUUGAACUUUAAGUUUGGCGCCCGUAGCUAACGUGAUAAAUCGACCGCCUGGGGAGUACGGCCGCAAGGUUAAAACUCAAAUGAAUUGACGGGGGCCCGCACAAGCGGUGGAGCAUGUGGUUUAAUUCGAUGCAACGCGAAGAACCUUACCUACUCUUGACAUCCAGA